Molecule: ribosomal RNA, 253 nt
Filed under: uncultured bacterium
Lineage: Bacteria
Description: partial 16S ribosomal RNA
Rfam family: Bacterial small subunit ribosomal RNA
Source: RNAcentral
UACGAAGGGGGCUAGCGUUGCUCGGAAUCACUGGGCGUAAAGCGCACGUAGGCGGCUUCUUAAGUCAGGGGUGAAAUCCUGGAGCUCAACUCCAGAACUGCCUUUGAUACUGGGAAGCUUGAGUCCGGAAGAGGUGAGUGGAACUGCGAGUGUAGAGGUGAAAUUCGUAGAUAUUCGCAAGAACACCAGUGGCGAAGGCGGCUCACUGGUCCGGUACUGACGCUGAGGUGCGAAAGCGUGGGGAGCAAACAGG